Molecule: ribosomal RNA, 253 nt
Filed under: uncultured bacterium
Lineage: Bacteria
Description: partial 16S ribosomal RNA
Rfam family: Bacterial small subunit ribosomal RNA
Source: RNAcentral
UACGAGAGGCCCAAACGUUAUUCGGAUUUACUGGGCUUAAAGAGUUCGUAGGCGGCGCGGAAAGUGGGGUGUGAAAGCCCUCGGCUCAACCGAGGAAUUGCGCUCCAAACUGCCGUGCUAGAGGAACCUAGAGGUGAGCAGAACAGAUGGUGGAGCGGUGAAAUGCGUUGAUAUCAUCUGGAAUACCGGAGGCGAAGGCGGCUCACUGGGGGUUUUCUGACGCUGAGGAACGAAAGCCAGGGGAGCGAACGGG